Molecule: transfer RNA, 72 nt
Filed under: Ursus americanus (American black bear)
Lineage: Eukaryota; Metazoa; Chordata; Mammalia; Carnivora; Ursidae
Also listed under: 2 other names
Rfam family: tRNA
About the family: Transfer RNA (tRNA) molecules are approximately 80 nucleotides in length. Their secondary structure includes four short double-helical elements and three loops (D, anti-codon, and T loops). Further hydrogen bonds mediate the characteristic L-shaped molecular structure. tRNAs have two regions of fundamental functional importance: the anti-codon, which is responsible for specific mRNA codon recognition, and the 3' end, to which the tRNAs corresponding amino acid is attached (by aminoacyl-tRNA synthetases). tRNAs cope with the degeneracy of the genetic code in two manners: having more than one tRNA (with a specific anti-codon) for a particular amino acid; and 'wobble' base-pairing, i.e. permitting non-standard base-pairing at the 3rd anti-codon position.
Source: Rfam by way of RNAcentral
UCCUGGCUGGCUCAGUUGUAGAGUAUGUGACUCUUAAUUUCAGGGUUGUGAGUUCAAAUCCCAUGUUGGGCA